Ctenocephalides felis (cat flea) is the source of this 380-nucleotide long non-coding RNA. RefSeq lists it as uncharacterized. The transcript is spliced from 3 exons. The record is from RefSeq and is a predicted model, not a curated record. Lineage: Eukaryota; Metazoa; Arthropoda; Insecta; Siphonaptera; Pulicidae.
UGCCAAGCUUAGAUUAUAGAUGGCUUACAUUCGCUCAAUUACAACAACGCUCGUUCGCGCAUUUGACAGCCGUCGUACGAAUGUGCCAAUAACCUAUAUGUUGUUGCUAAAUAUUUCUGUUCUAGUGAAUAUUUAAUAAAUAAAUUUAGUAUGGUCACGUGCCAAGUUGUUUCAACUAAUGAAUAUUGAAUUGCACGUCUUAAUUGAUGGCCAGAACUUGGUAUAUCAAUGUCAAUUCAUAAAAAUGAUGUAAAGGCAGUGGCAGAUUGUCGAAGGAGAGUAAUCUUACUUCAGGCUUCUUUGAGCUGUAUUGAAGUGUGUGGAUUAGACAAAUCUCCUUUACGGGAAUCAUGAAAGAGUUUUCCUCUCACGCAUUCACG